RNAcentral lists this ribosomal RNA (147 nucleotides) under uncultured bacterium. RNAcentral's name for it is "partial 16S ribosomal RNA". It matches the Rfam family "Bacterial small subunit ribosomal RNA", at positions 1346 to 1500 of the family's 1533-position model. The record is from RNAcentral.
GCAUCAGCCACGGCGCGGUGAAUACGUUCCCGGGCCUUGUACACACCGCCCGUCAAGCCAUGGAAGCCGGGAGUGCCUGAAGUGCGUGAGCGCAAGCAGCGCCCUAAGGUAAAACCGGUGACUGGGGCUAAGUCGUAACAAGGUAGC